Molecule: non-coding RNA, 103 nt
Organism: Aaosphaeria arxii CBS 175.79
Lineage: Eukaryota; Fungi; Ascomycota; Dothideomycetes; Pleosporales
Source: the annotation of a RefSeq genome assembly
GCAUCGUUGGUGCAGUGGUUAGCAUCCUGCCUUCCCAUCGUCCCAUUUAUGGCAGCGUAUAAGUAGACAGGCAGUGACGGGAGUUCGAAUCUCCCACGAUGCA